This 452-nucleotide ribosomal RNA is filed under the name uncultured bacterium. RNAcentral describes it as "bacterial SSU rRNA". It matches the Rfam family "Bacterial small subunit ribosomal RNA", at positions 29 to 526 of the family's 1533-position model. The record is from RNAcentral.
AACGAACGCUGGCGGCAUGCCUAACACAUGCAAGUCGAACGAAGGCUUCGGCCUUAGUGGCGCACGGGUGCGUAACGCGUGGGAAUCUGCCCUUGGGUUCGGAAUAACAGUGGGAAACUACUGCUAAUACCGGAUGAUGACGUAAGUCCAAAGAUUUAUCGCCCAGGGAUGAGCCCGCGUAGGAUUAGCUAGUUGGUGGGGUAAAGGCCUACCAAGGCGACGAUCCUUAGCUGGUCUGAGAGGAUGAUCAGCCACACUGGGACUGAGACACGGCCCAGACUCCUACGGGAGGCAGCAGUGGGGAAUAUUGGACAAUGGGCGAAAGCCUGAUCCAGCAAUGCCGCGUGAGUGAUGAAGGCCCUAGGGUUGUAAAGCUCUUUUACCCGGGAAGAUAAUGACUGUACCGGGAGAAUAAGCCCCGGCUAACUCCGUGCCAGCCGCCGCAGUAAAAC